AAGUCGUAACAAGGUUUCCGUAGGUGAACCUGCGGAAGGAUCAUUAUUGAAUUUUAAUAAAGAGUUUGGUUGUAGCUGGUCUAUUUAUUUAGGCAUGUGCACACCUUUCUCUUUCAUCCCAUACACACCUGUGAACUUGUGAGACAGUUGGGGAAUUUAUUUGUUAUUUUUUGUAAUAAAAUUAUAAUAAGUCAUUGAACCCUUCUGUCUACUCAACUUAUAUAAACUCAAUUUAUUUUAAAUGAAUGUAAUGGAUGUAACACAUCUCAUACUAAGUUUCAACAACGGAUCUCUUGGCUCUC
Molecule: unclassified non-coding RNA, 302 nt
Filed under: fungal sp.
Lineage: Eukaryota; Fungi
Description: partial internal transcribed spacer region
Rfam family: Eukaryotic small subunit ribosomal RNA (bases 1-46)
Source: RNAcentral